Quercus robur (English oak) is the source of this 622-nucleotide long non-coding RNA. RefSeq lists it as uncharacterized. The record is from RefSeq and is a predicted model, not a curated record. The transcript has 5 exons. NCBI's taxonomy places the organism in Eukaryota, Viridiplantae, Streptophyta, Magnoliopsida, Fagales, Fagaceae.
UUUCAUUUCCUCUCAACACAACACAAACAUUUCUCUCAUACUCCUUCAUCCUCUCCCAUGGUACCCACUCCAAAUCAACAUCUCCACCAUCAUUUUUCCGGCAAGAUCACUGGAAAAUUGUUGUGAACCCAUAAACACCUUCACAUCUUUUUUUUGAGGUUCUAGCUAAUCUUCUUGGAGCUUGGAGAAUUAUGAUUUUGCGGUUGCGAGAUGGCUCAAAUGCAGCUGUUAUGAGACCAUAGAAAUAUCUCAAUGUGGUUAUUGAUGUGCCAUAAAGACAAGUAGAGAAGCAGCUGCCACAUAAGAGUGGAGCUCUGAAUUUGACUAUUGAUGUGCUAUACAGAGAAGUAGAGAAGCAACUGCCACAUAAGCAUGGAGCUAUUCUGAGCUCAAGGGGUGUUGCAAACUGGUGAAAGGCAGCUUUCUGGAAACCAGAAGCAUCAUGUGGAUCAGAUAACGAUGACAGUGUGGCACUUGCUGGGCACCUUGUAGAAGUGAAUGAUUCUGGCAUUUGAUGCUCAAGUCUUCUGUCAAGUUUGCCCACUGCUUGGAUUAGAGGGAGAGAGCUACAGAAGGUCAAUUUUUGGAGGGGCUCUGGUGUUUGAGAAACAAGAAUGGCUUA